GAGGAAGCAGAAAAACAAGCCGAUGAAUGUC
This 31-nucleotide non-coding RNA is filed under the name Rattus norvegicus (Norway rat). Lineage: Eukaryota; Metazoa; Chordata; Mammalia; Rodentia; Muridae. The record is from RNAcentral.